This 465-nucleotide ribosomal RNA is filed under the name uncultured bacterium. RNAcentral's name for it is "partial 16S ribosomal RNA". It matches the Rfam family "Bacterial small subunit ribosomal RNA", at positions 338 to 795 of the family's 1533-position model. The record is from RNAcentral.
CCUACGGGAGGCAGCAGUGGGGAAUUUUGCGCAAUGCGCGUAAGCCUGACGCAGCAACGCCGCGUGAAUGAAGAAGGCCUUCGGGUCGUAAAGUUCUUUCGACAGGGAAGAAAAUGCCUAUAAGUAACUAUGUAUGUAUUGCCGGUACCUGGAUACGCGCCGCCGGCUUACUAAGUGCCAGCAGCCGCGGUAAUACGGAGGGGGCGAGCGGUGUUCGGAUUUAUUGGGUUUAAAGGGAGCGUAGGCCGCAUGUCAAGCCUGCUGUGAAAUGUCCGGGCUCAACCCGUGCCUUGCAUGGCGAACUGGGGUGCUUGAGUGCGCGGAAGGCAGGCGGAAUUCGUGGUGUAGCGGUGAAAUGCGGAGAUAUUACGAAGAACCCCGAUGGCGAAGGCAGCUUGCUGGAGAGGAACUGACGCUGAGGCUCGAAAGCGUGGGGAUCGAACAGGAUUAGAUACCCGAGUAGUC